RNAcentral lists this ribosomal RNA (514 nucleotides) under Bolitoglossa alvaradoi (Alvarado's salamander). RNAcentral's name for it is "partial 16S ribosomal RNA". It matches the Rfam family "Bacterial large subunit ribosomal RNA", at positions 1817 to 2597 of the family's 2925-position model. Lineage: Eukaryota; Metazoa; Chordata; Amphibia; Caudata; Plethodontidae. The record is from RNAcentral.
CGCCUUUUGUAAUAUACAUAUAAAAGGUCCUGCCUGCCCAAUGACUUAUUUUAAUGGCCGCGGUAUUAUGACCGUGCAAAGGUAGCGUAAUCAUUUGUCUCCUAAAUAGAGACCGGUAUGAAUGGCAAGACGAAAGCCUUACUGUCUCUCUAGACUAGUCAAUGAAAUUGAUCUCCCCGUGCAGAAGCGGGGAUAAAUAUAUAAGACGAGAAGACCCUGUGGAGCUUCAAACUCUAACUAACAGACCAUAAAUGUUCUAGCACUAAAGCUUUAGGUUGGGGCGACCAUGAGGCACAGUUUAACCCUCACGUAUAUAACAAGAAGGACACUUCAAACAACUAAUAUAGUAUAUGACCCAAUAAUUGAUCAACGAACCAAGUUACCCCAGGGAUAACAGCGCAAUCUACUCAAAGAGUCCCUAUCGACGAGCAGGUUUACGACCUCGAUGUUGGAUCAGGACCCCCAAAUAAUGCAACAGCUAUUAAAGGUUCGUUUGUUCAACGAUUAAAGUCCU